CUACGGAGGAUCCGAGCGUUAUCCGGAUUUAUUGGGUUUAAAGGGAGCGUAGGUGGAUUGUUAGGUCAGUUGUGAAAGUUUGCGGCUCAACCGUAAAAUUGCAGUUGAAACUGGCAGUCUUGAGUACCGUAGAGGUGGGCGGAAUUCGUGGUGUAGCGGUGAAAUGCUUAGAUAUCACGAAGAACUCCGAUUGCGAAGGCAGCUCACUAGACUGUUACUGACACUGAUGCUCGAAAGUGUGGGUAUCAAACAGGAUUAGAUACCCUGGUAGUCCACACAGUAAACGAUGAAUACUCGCUGUUUGCGAUAUACAGUAAGCGGCCAAGCGAAAGCAUUAAGUAUUGCACCUGGGGAGUACGCCGGCAACGGUGAAACUCAAAUGAAUUGACGGGG
Molecule: ribosomal RNA, 393 nt
Filed under: uncultured bacterium
Lineage: Bacteria
Description: partial 16S ribosomal RNA
Rfam family: Bacterial small subunit ribosomal RNA
Source: RNAcentral